GAUGAACGCUGGCGGCGUGCCUAAUACAUGCAAGUCGAGCGAACGGACGAUAAGCUUGCUUCUCUGAUGUUAGCGGCGGACGGGCGAGUAACACGUGGAUAACCUACCUAUAAGACUGGGAUAACUUCGGGAAACCGGAGCUAAUACCGGAUAAUAUUUUGAACCGCAUGGUUCAAAAGUGAAUGACGGUCUUGCUGUCACUUAUAGAUGGAUCCGCGCCGCAUUAGCUAGUUGGUAAGGUAACGGCUUACCAAGGCAACGAUGCAUAGCCGACCUGAGAGGGUGAUCGGCCACACUGGAACUGAGACACGGUCCAGACUCCUACGGGAGGCAGCAGUAGGGAAUCUUCCGCAAUGGGCGAAAGCCUGACGGAGCAACGCCGCGUGAGUGAUGAAGGUCUUCGGGUCGUAAAGCUCUUUUAUUAGGGAAGAACAGAUGUGUAAGUAACCGUGCACAUCUUGACGGUACCUAAUCAAAAAGCAACGGCUAACUACGUG
This 497-nucleotide ribosomal RNA is filed under the name uncultured bacterium. RNAcentral's name for it is "partial 16S ribosomal RNA". It matches the Rfam family "Bacterial small subunit ribosomal RNA", at positions 28 to 507 of the family's 1533-position model. The record is from RNAcentral.